RNAcentral lists this ribosomal RNA (495 nucleotides) under uncultured Glomeromycotina. Its description in RNAcentral is "partial small subunit ribosomal RNA". It matches the Rfam family "Eukaryotic small subunit ribosomal RNA", at positions 591 to 1092 of the family's 1831-position model. The record is from RNAcentral. Lineage: Eukaryota; Fungi; Glomeromycota.
CCAAUAGCGUAUAUUAAAGUUGUUGUGGUUAAAAAGCUCGUAGUUGAACCUUGGGCCUGGCUGGCCGGUCCGCCUCACCGCGUGUACUGGUCCGGCCGGGCCUUUCCCUCUGUGGAACCCCAUGCCCUUCACGGGGUGUGGCGGGGAAACAGGACUUUUACUUUGAAAAAAUUAGAGUGCUCCAGGCCGGCCUAGGCUCGAAUACAUUAGCAUGGAAUAAUAAAAUAGGACGUGUGGUUCUAUUUUGUUGGUUUCUAGGACCGCCGUAAUGAUUAAUAGGGACAGUCGGGGGCAUCAGUAUUCAAUUGUCAGAGGUGAAAUUCUUGGAUUUAUUGAAGACUAACUACUGCGAAAGCAUUUGCCAAGGAUGUUUUCAUUAAUCAGGAACGAAAGUUAGGGGAUCGAAGACGAUCAGAUACCGUCGUAGUCUUAACCAUAAACUAUGCCGACUAGGGAUCGGACGAUGUUAUUUUUUGACUCGUUCGGCACCUUACG